Molecule: unclassified non-coding RNA, 276 nt
Filed under: Hevea brasiliensis (rubber tree)
Lineage: Eukaryota; Viridiplantae; Streptophyta; Magnoliopsida; Malpighiales; Euphorbiaceae
Source: RNAcentral
GCCCAAAAGAAUAAUGUGUACAAAUAGAAACCCUAGUCUCACACACACACGUACCUGUAUCUGUGUUACCGCAACGUUCUAGGGUUUCAACAGAAACAAACAAAAAUUUAAUUGUUUGUCCAAAAAGGAAAAGGAAACUGCAAGCGAGGGAGAACAAACCCUAGCCCGCUAUGAUUAAGGCAGCUAUAGCACAAAAACGCAACCGUUUCAAUAACCGCUUUCGAAGUAUUAAUAUUGCGAAUUCCAAACAAUGUGUUUCAAAGCAGAGGCACAGAG